RNAcentral lists this ribosomal RNA (305 nucleotides) under uncultured bacterium. RNAcentral describes it as "partial 16S ribosomal RNA". It matches the Rfam family "Bacterial small subunit ribosomal RNA", at positions 505 to 807 of the family's 1533-position model. The record is from RNAcentral.
ACAGCAGCAGCCGCGGUAAUACAGAGGGUGCAAGCGUUAAUCGGAAUUACUGGGCGUAAAGCGCGCGUAGGUGGUUUGUUAAGUUGGAUGUGAAAGCCCCGGGCUCAACCUGGGAACUGCAUCCAAAACUGGCAAGCUAGAGUACGGUAGAGGGUGGUGGAAUUUCCUGUGUAGCGGUGAAAUGCGUAGAUAUAGGAAGGAACACCAGUGGCGAAGGCGACCACCUGGACUGAUACUGACACUGAGGUGCGAAAGCGUGGGGAGCAAACAGGAUUAGAUACCCGUGUAGUCCCUGUCUCUUAUAC